Molecule: non-coding RNA, 424 nt
Organism: Pelobates cultripes (western spadefoot toad)
Lineage: Eukaryota; Metazoa; Chordata; Amphibia; Anura; Pelobatidae
Source: the annotation of a GenBank genome assembly
GCGGAAGGGAAGCUCAUUGCUGAGGUCACCUACUGAGCGCGUCACGUUAGUGAUGUCACUCCCAUAUAUAUAUAUAUAUAUACCUCAGGGAAGGUCUGAGAGAAGAGCCCAUUGUCGCCCUUACAGGGUGUCACCCGAUACUCAGGGUGAGUGAGUCCCCAGCAACCCCACGCUGGAGUGGACCGGCCCGUCACGUGGUGUGGGACCAUGCAGAAGACGCCUUGCAGCGUGGUUGGGGGGAGGCUGUGCCGCAGAUUGAGGCUCAUCCCUCGCCCCUCCCACGUCUCGCACGGCUGAUGCAGUCUCACAUUCCGGGUCUUGGAAGUGACUCACGGCUUGCAGUGUUAGUCCAAUGGCUGAGGCAAGGUAGCUGCACGGGAUGUGUGCGCACCCUGUAACCCAAUUCAGACUACUCUCCCGCCGC